GGGAGGCCCCGAGGCAACAAGUGCUGCUAAUACUUGGAUUCCAUGGUUAAACUCCGUGGCUUCCUCG
RNAcentral lists this transfer RNA (67 nucleotides) under Moxostoma carinatum (river redhorse). RNAcentral's name for it is "tRNA-Ser". Lineage: Eukaryota; Metazoa; Chordata; Actinopteri; Cypriniformes; Catostomidae. The record is from RNAcentral.